GAAAUCUUAGGAGGGUUAACUUCCGAAACUGCAUUCGAUACUGUGGGUGCUUGGAGGACUGGGGAGGAGACUGGAAUUUACGGUGUAGCGGUGAAAAUGCGUAGAGAUCGUAAAGGAAGACCAGUGGCGAAGGCGGGUCUCUGGGACAGUUCCCUGACACUGAGGCACGAAGGCCAGGGGAGCAAAACGGGAAUUAGAUACCCCCGGUAGUCCUGGCAGUAAACGGUGCACGUUUGGUGUGGGAGGAUUCGACCCCUUCUGCGCCGGAGCUAACGCGUUAAACGUGCCGCCUGGGGAGUACGGUCGCAAGAUUAAAAACUCAAAGAAAUUGACGGGGGCCCGCACAAGCGGUGGAGUAUGUGGCUUAAUGCAACGCGAAGAACCUUACCUGGCCUUGACAUGCAUCUCUAAGCUGGUGAAAGCCAGUGAGUCCAGAAAGGGACAAUUUGCACAGGUGCUGCAUGGCUGUCGUCAGCUCGUGUCGUGAGAUGUUGGGUUAAGUCCCGCAACGAGCGCAACCCUUGUGAACUGUUGCCACUCCCGCGUGAGCGGGAAGCACUCUGUUCAGACUGCCCUGUGAAACGGGGAGGAAGGUGAGGACGACGUCAAGUCAGUAUGGCCCUUACGGCCAGGGCUGCACACGUACUACAAUGCCCAGUACAGAAUGAUCCGAGACCGCAAGGUGGAGGAAAUCUCCAAAAACUGGGCCCAGUUCGGAUUGAAGUCUGCAACUCGACUUCAUGAAGCCGGAAUCGCUAGUAAUGGCGCAUCAGCUACGGCGCCGUGAAUACGUUCCCGGGCCUUGUACACACCGCCCGUCACAUCAUGGAAGUCACUUGUAGCCGAAGCCGGCGCGCUAACCCGCAAGGGAAGCAGCCUUCUACGCUAUGAGCGGUAACUGGGUUUAAGUCGUAACAAGGUA
This 922-nucleotide ribosomal RNA is filed under the name uncultured Verrucomicrobiota bacterium. RNAcentral describes it as "bacterial SSU rRNA". It matches the Rfam family "Bacterial small subunit ribosomal RNA", at positions 596 to 1498 of the family's 1533-position model. Lineage: Bacteria; Pseudomonadati; Verrucomicrobiota. The record is from RNAcentral.